Molecule: long non-coding RNA, 4849 nt
Organism: Phacochoerus africanus (Common warthog)
Lineage: Eukaryota; Metazoa; Chordata; Mammalia; Artiodactyla; Suidae
Exons: 9
Source: RefSeq, a predicted model, not a curated record
CUAUUUUUGUUUUUAAUGAAGGCUCAGUGUUUGUUAAGUGUGAAAAGUGCUUAACAAACUACCUGAACAUAGGAAAUGUCAAUGAACUGUAGCUCUGCCAGUUGAGAUAAUGACUUUUGUCUUUGUAGUUUUCUUUCAUUUUUCUUUGUGUGUACUUGUGCUUCCCAUCACACUUUCUUCCCAGCUCUGUACUCCAAGACCAUCCCUUUGGCUGAUUAUGAGAUGGGCAUGGCUUUGGACAAACAAGAUCAACUGUGUUUCAGGGAAUAGUCACUAAAUCAUCAGCAAGGAACAACACAGUUCUAGAAAGUUCUCUGAUAAGCUUAUCAAAUCUCUUUUACCAAUUGGUCCAUUCUGCAGUCUGUCAUGUCUGCUUCCAAAAUGAAAACCACCACAAAAAUGACCAAGAUUAGUCCCUAUGAAACAUCAAAUCUCAUCUCGCCAUGGCUUGCUCAUCAUUCUUCCUUUGCAUGUUAUGACAUGCUGAGGAGGGUGGUAUCUGAGAAAGACCUUGAAGAAUGCAUGGAACGUUCUUAUGGCAGAGAACAGGUAGGUAUUCCAGGUGGUGAGACUAAUAUAAGCAAUGGUAUAGAAAUAUAUGUAAGAACAAAAAAGUAGUAAAAUCGUUAUUUUGUUGGAACACAGGUUGCCAUGUCCAGGAAAAGCAGAGGAAUACACCUCAAUAUGGCAUUUCUGGUGAAGUCCGAGUACUGCUUGCUGAGGGUUCAUCUGCUUCCAAUGCCCCUUCUGCCCCCCCACACCCCCUGCCGCCGUAAAAUCACAAUCUGUUCCUGGGAGAACAUAUUCAUUUGCACAAUAACCAAUUGUAAUGGGAAAAAGGAGGGAUUCUAACAUCAGUUGGGAACUUGGAAACAGAAAUUCUGAAAUUGAAGGAAACCUACAUGGUAUCUGGAAGGAUCCCCAGAUCCUUUCUAAGAUGAAGGGCAGUGAAGUCCAUGCUCAUUCCAGACCCUGAGGGGUUUGAUAUGGGAGGAAAGGCAACUCUGACUGGAAUCAGUGAACACUUCUGGUUGUCUACAUAAAACUCUGAGUCAAAAGAACCCCCAUCAAACUUGCUUGAAGUGAGGUGGACUGGACUGGUCUUUUAGUGCAGUUCCAGAUGCCGGCUGUGGGCAAACUGAUGAAACUGCCCCCUUACCAAGGAUGUGAUUGAACAAGACCUGGGACCUGAAAAAAAAUCUUGCAAUUACACUUUUCUACCACUAGAUGAUAUGCACGUAUAAGCAAGAUGAAAACCCUCCUGUGUUUUCUUGCUGCAUCAGUGGCCGCAGUGAUGAUAGGGGCCAUUGAACUACUACUGCCUAUGGGCCAAAUCUGGUUUUCUGCCUCUCUGUAUAAAUAAAGUUUUAUUGGAACACAGCCAUGCUCAUUUGUCUAAGACUGAUUUUGCUCUACAAUGACAGUGAUAAAGAAAGUGACUAAAGAUACAUUGACUCCUGGCACACACAUGAAAUGACUGUAGCAGGCCUACACGAUGGAGAACAAUUUGGGUAAUUAAUUGCCUCAGAGUCAUACAUCACAUGGAGAAGAUGGGGAUAAUGAGGAACUGGAGGGCUGAAGUCCAUUGCUGGUUACGUCAAGUGGUGUCAGAUUUGGCUUGCUCUUCUCACUUCCUGUUGACUCCAAGAAAAAAGGCUGCAGUUGGCGCCUGACAGUGAAAAACAUGAAGCUCUGAGACCUGUCUGAAUUACUAAUCACUACAUGUCCUGUUCAGUCUGACCACUUUCCAAGCAAUGAAGCGAACUGGCCAGGUCAGUGACUCAGCUUCCGAAGGGGGAGCCAGCAGUCCGAGCUGAUCUGUAUGGCCCUGGUUUCACUUCCCAAGGUUUGAUCGGGGAGCAGCUUCGGAAGGGUGAUUUCGCCCUGGAGCUUGUCUCUCCGGGGACAGAACGAUGAACACAGAUGAUGCAGUGUAUAGUCUACUGGAGAAGUCUCACUAUAAGUCUUUGGAGGGAAAGAGUUGCAAGAAUGUCAUCUUUCACCAGCUGGUGUCACUCUUUGGAACCAGUCACAAGUAGCUGGGUGUGGUAGGGUGAGGUUGUCUGAAGUUUGAAUGAAGAAAAUAUAUUGAGUAGGAAACAUUAACUUCUUUUCUUUUUUUGGCUUAACUGCUAGUAGAUACAGUAUUCCCUUGUUUGUGUCAGUAACUACCGAAGGCUCUUGAAGAUGUCACCAUUUUACCAUGGUGUAUUCAUAUGCCUGGUUUUCUAAGCGAUUUAGCGGAACUUUGCUGCUUUUAUUAAGCUUAAUGUCCAGUUACCAAAAAAAGCACCACAUAGUCCGUGGUGGAAACAGGGGUGGGCGUAUAGGGGCCACAUGGGAAUGUAAUUCCAGGAACUCCUGGGUCUCAUAUGCAAAUUAGAUUAAAAGGCUCUGUGGCCAGGGCUCCCAGAGCAAAUCAUUCCCAUUCCCACCUCUUUUCAUAGCAUUGUCUCCUGUGGGAAUACAGAAAUCACUUUCAAUUGAUUUCAGCUACUGCCUUGUUUUAACAAAGGGGGCCACAUGCCUUAGUUUGUCUGCCUGGCCUAAGAAAACUCCUUACCAGGUAAUCUCUUAAAUACUUAAAAAAAAAAAAAAAAAAGACUUUGAGAUCCUUAGGAGAAAAUACUGUAAGUAAAUCAAAGUCCUAUUUUCUCAGAAAGAAAGUUGAGUCUUUGAUUGGCUGGUGCCACCACCUCCUUCAGGCGAUUUUCAUACUUGGCAUAGAGCUUGUAGUCAUUUCUCAUAUUCCCGUUGUUUUGAUUAGUCAACACAUGAUAACUUGACAACACUCAAAUGUGAGAGGUUGAGGAAGGGAGGGUGGCAGGGAGGGAAGAAGCCCUUCAGCAAGCAACGCUUUCUUGAAAACGUCUUAAAAAAUAUAUAUUUCAAACACAGGGACUGAAGGUGAACUGGAAGAAUAUAUCCAAGACCACAAGCCCAGUUCUCUGAAGGAUGGCUCUCUGGAAAGAACGUGUGAGCCUGUGCACACGUGGGCAAAACUUUGUAAGCAUUUGUUGCUUUUGCAUCUUGGAAAGGAAAUCUUAACAACCCCAGACCUUCUCCACAAGAGAAAAGAGGGGAAGAAUCCUGCUUUACAUCUUCUCAUCACUAAGGCUUCCACCGAAGACAAAAGUGCUUGUAAGGGGUAUAAAAAGUGUGCUCCGGAAGUGAGGUGACUUCUUAGUUGUGUCCUGUAUGUCAACAGAUGCUCAGUGAAAACAAAGAAAUAUCCUCCUUCCCAUCUAGCUCAUUUGGGGUUUCUUUUGCCCUCUCUGCCUGUCCUCCACCUGGUUCGCAUGGACUCUGGUCCUGGCUCUAGCCCACUGAAGGCAGAAAGAGGCACAGAGCCUUGGCCAUACCCAGCCUCUGUCUGUUCUCAUUGCGCAUCUUCUCUGCUCCCCCUUCCAGCCUCUCUCCCUGCUCUCUCCCCAGACUUGGACCCCAGUUACACUGCCCAGAAGGGCAGUAUGACCUCUUACUUCUUCUCUGUUGUGCUUGGGGGAAUUAAAUACAGUAGAUGCACUUGGUUCUGGCUUUGCCUCAUUAAGAGGUCUCUAUGGAUUAAUUCCUGAGAGAUCGAAUCUCGUUACUUUACUGUGGCAAAGUGAAAUUAGUGCAAAGUAACAAGGAGCCAGAUUAAUGUGACCCCAGGAAAUAAUCCAUAAAAAACUUAUGAGGCCUUUAGCAGGCUGUAAAUUGGAUUUCAGACAGGGUUGGGGAGGAGGAAGAAUCAUGUUAAAAACAAUCAGUUUGUAAUGAAUAGAGCUAAUAUUUUAGCUCUUCCAAAUAGAAGAAAACACCAGAGUAAAUAACUCUGAGAACCCAAUGGCAAUAUUUUCUAAGAUGUGUAAAUAAUUGAAAUUGUGAUUAUAAUCCUAACUGAAUUUUUCUUGCUUUAUGGCUGCUGGGAAGUGUAUUGUUCAUUACACAUCACAGAACUCUAAAUCAAAAGCACAAAGGAGAGGGGAAGGCAAAAUAAAGAAAUGAAAAAGAAAAAUAUCUUGUCUGGGUGAUCAGUUGUUUGACUUAGUCUAUAGGCAGGAGAAUAUGUAGUCUUCAGCCUUUUGCAAUAAAGCAGUCAGGCCGUUGUAAAGAUCUAUCCCUUCACAGGUUUGAACAGUUACAGCAGAGCCUGAAAAGCAAAUAAACAACUCAUUAGGUCCAUAUAGUGUUUUUCUGGGAUAAAGAAACUGACUUUGAAAGAAGAGGAAUGGUUUGGAGACUGAUAGUGUACAAAUUUCUUUUAUUUUCUUCUCUUUUUUAGCAGUAAUAGGAAUGGAGAAGUGACAGGCACUCAGUCAUCAUCUCCAGAAAUCCUGUGUCCUGAAGUUGUUAAGAAAGGAUGCUGUGGAUAUUUUACAGAAUGAGUUAAAAUAAUCCUAAAAUUCACCUGUAACUAUGAAAGACCCCAAACUGCCAGAGUAAUUUUUAGGAAGAAGAACAAAGCUGGAGACACCACACUUCCUGACUUCAAGCUAUAUUACAAAACUAUAGUAAUCAAAGUAGUAUGGUACUACAAUAAAAAUGGACACACAGACCAGUGGAACAGAAUAGAGAGUCCAGAAAUAAAACUAUGCAUAUACUGUCAACUAAUCUUCAACAAAGCUAUACAAGAAUACACAAUGAGAAAAGAACAGUAUCUUUAAUAAAUGAUGUUGAAAAAACUGGAUAUCCCUAAUGCAACAGAAUGAAAUUGGAUACUUAAACCAUGGACAAAAAUCAACUCAAAGUGGAUUAGAGACUUGAACUUAAGACAUGAAACUGUAAAACUUUUGGAAAAAGUUGCUUGACAUUGGCCCUGGUAGUAUUUUUUUUCAGAUAUGACACCAAAAGCACAGUCAUCAAA